Prionailurus viverrinus (fishing cat) is the source of this 144-nucleotide long non-coding RNA. RefSeq lists it as uncharacterized. Lineage: Eukaryota; Metazoa; Chordata; Mammalia; Carnivora; Felidae. The transcript is spliced from 3 exons. The record is from RefSeq and is a predicted model, not a curated record.
UUGGAAUGUCCUAGAUCUUCAGAGCCACAGGACAGAAAGACCCUGAGUGCAAAAAGACACCCCCUGAGCACAAAUGCACUGAACUGUUACCUUGGUAUUUAUUUGACACCAACUAGCAUUAACUUAGGGAGCAGCAACCAACGG